Molecule: long non-coding RNA, 163 nt
Organism: Chelonia mydas (Green sea turtle)
Lineage: Eukaryota; Metazoa; Chordata; Testudines; Cheloniidae
Exons: 3
Source: RefSeq, a predicted model, not a curated record
GUCACACAGCAGUCCCUUAAUGAAAAUCAAAAAGUGCCGGAGUGGCAGGAGAGCGAAAGGAGGGUCCGCCAGCAGAAUGCGGCUCACCGGCACCAAAGCACGGAGCAGCUGCUAAGCAUCAUGGAGCGCCCAGAGGACUCGAUACAGGCGCUCGUAGCAAUGC